RNAcentral lists this unclassified non-coding RNA (306 nucleotides) under plant metagenome. Its description in RNAcentral is "partial contains 5.8S ribosomal RNA, internal transcribed spacer 2, and large subunit ribosomal RNA". The stretch from base 1 to 105 matches the Rfam family "5.8S ribosomal RNA", at positions 50 to 154 of the family's 154-position model. The record is from RNAcentral.
GAAGUGCGAUAAGUAAUGUGAAUUGCAGAAUUCAGUGAAUCAUCGAAUCUUUGAACGCACAUUGCGCCCGCCAGUAUUCUGGCGGGCAUGCCUGUCCGAGCGUCAUUUCAACCAUCAAGCCCCCGGGCUUGUGUUGGGGACCUGCGGCUGCCCGCAGGCCCUGAAAACCAGUGGCGGGCUCGCUGUCACACCGAGCGUAGUAGCAAUCACCUCGCUCAGGGCGUGCUGCGGGUUCCGGCCGUUAAACAGCCUUACAAAACCCAAGGUUGACCUCGGAUCAGGUAGGAAGACCCGCUGAACUUAAGC